AUUGAACGCUGGCGGCAGGCCUAACACAUGCAAGUCGAGCGGAUGAAGGGAGCUUGCUCCUGGAUUCAGCGGCGGACGGGUGAGUAAUGCCUAGGAAUCUGCCUGGUAGUGGGGGAUAACGUCCGGAAACGGGCGCUAAUACCGCAUACGUCCUGAGGGAGAAAGUGGGGGAUCUUCGGACCUCACGCUAUCAGAUGAGCCUAGGUCGGAUUAGCUAGUUGGUGGGGUAAAGGCCUACCAAGGCGACGAUCCGUAACUGGUCUGAGAGGAUGAUCAGUCACACUGGAACUGAGACACGGUCCAGACUCCUGCGGGAGGCAGCAGUGGGGAAUAUUGGGCAAUGGGCGAAAGCCUGAUCCAGCCAUGCCGCGUGUGUGAAGAAGGUCUUCGGAUUGUAAAGCACUUUAAGUUGGGAGGAAGGGCAGUAAGUUAAUACCUUGCUGUUUUGACGUUACCAACAGAAUAAGCACCGGCUAACUUCGUG
This 484-nucleotide ribosomal RNA is filed under the name uncultured bacterium. RNAcentral's name for it is "partial 16S ribosomal RNA". It matches the Rfam family "Bacterial small subunit ribosomal RNA", at positions 30 to 507 of the family's 1533-position model. The record is from RNAcentral.